GGCAGUUCUCAGGUGACACACCCCGGAAUCGGGCUCCUUCUUCUCUGUUUCUGGGUGCGUCGCCCAAGAACUGCA
This is a non-coding RNA of Myotis davidii, 75 nucleotides long. Lineage: Eukaryota; Metazoa; Chordata; Mammalia; Chiroptera; Vespertilionidae. The record is from Rfam.